GAUGAACGCUGGCGGCGUGCUUAACACAUGCAAGUCGAACGAAGCAUUUAGAACAGAUUACUUCGGUUUGAAGUUCUUUAUGACUGAGUGGCGGACGGGUGAGUAACGCGUGGGUAACCUGCCUUGUACUGGGGGAUAGCAGCUGGAAACGGCUGGUAAUACCACAUAAGCGCACAAUGUUGCAUGACAUGGUGUGAAAAACUCCGGUGGUAUAAGAUGGACCCGCGUCUGAUUAGCUAGUUGGUGAGAUAACAGCCCACCAAGGCGACGAUCAGUAGCCGACCUGGGAGGGGGACCGGCCACAUUGGGACUGAGACACGGCCCAGACUCCUACGGGAGGCAGCAGUGGGGAAUAUUGCACAAUGGAGGAAACUCUGAUGCAGCGACGCCGCGUGAGUGAAGAAGUAAUUCGUUAUGUAAAGCUCUAUCAGCAGGGAAGAUAGUGACGGUACCUGACUAAGAAGCGCCGGCUAAAUACGUG
RNAcentral lists this ribosomal RNA (481 nucleotides) under uncultured bacterium. Its description in RNAcentral is "partial 16S ribosomal RNA". It matches the Rfam family "Bacterial small subunit ribosomal RNA", at positions 28 to 507 of the family's 1533-position model. The record is from RNAcentral.